UACGGGGGGGGCAAGCGUUGUUCGGAAUUACUGGGCGUAAAGGGCUUGUAGGUGGCCAACUAAGUCAGACGUGAAAUCCCUCGGCUUAACCGGGGAACUGCGUCUGAUACUGGAUGGCUUGAGUGUGGGAGAGGGAUGCGGAAUUCCAGGUGUAGCGGUGAAAUGCGUAGAUAUCUGGAGGAACACCGGUGGCGAAGGCGGCGUUCUGGACGGCAUCUGACACUGAGAAACGAAAGCCAGGGGAGCAAACGGG
Molecule: ribosomal RNA, 253 nt
Filed under: uncultured bacterium
Lineage: Bacteria
Description: partial 16S ribosomal RNA
Rfam family: Bacterial small subunit ribosomal RNA
Source: RNAcentral